This 70-nucleotide transfer RNA is filed under the name marine eukaryotic metagenome. It matches the Rfam family "tRNA". From Rfam's summary of the family: Transfer RNA (tRNA) molecules are approximately 80 nucleotides in length. Their secondary structure includes four short double-helical elements and three loops (D, anti-codon, and T loops). Further hydrogen bonds mediate the characteristic L-shaped molecular structure. tRNAs have two regions of fundamental functional importance: the anti-codon, which is responsible for specific mRNA codon recognition, and the 3' end, to which the tRNAs corresponding amino acid is attached (by aminoacyl-tRNA synthetases). tRNAs cope with the degeneracy of the genetic code in two manners: having more than one tRNA (with a specific anti-codon) for a particular amino acid; and 'wobble' base-pairing, i.e. permitting non-standard base-pairing at the 3rd anti-codon position. The record is from RNAcentral.
GCCUGUAGCUCAGUUGGUUAGAGCAGUGGACUCAUAAUCCAUUGGUCGAGUGUUCGAGUCACUCCAGGCC